CAAGAGGUGAGGAAACCUGAGUGUUUAUCUACCAGCUCUCAUGAGACGUUGUUUGAGCACUGCUCCCAGGGUGUGUUCUCCCUUAGCACUUCCUGCCUGCCCUACACAUGGGAUGAGAACAUGCCUGUGGCUAGAGAGAGCCUGCAGACAGAGAGUCACCGGUGCUGGCCAGCAGAAUCCUGUGGGACAGGGUACAUCAGAAGGCAUCUCCAGAUCAGACUGCCUAAUUCUCUGGAUGCAUCCCAGGGUUUGUUCAUCCUGACAUUGUGACACGUUGGGCUAGAUCAUGGCAGAUGAAUAAGAAAGAAUUCCUCUACAUCUUCAGAGCAAUUUUGGGACACUUGCCAACGGUUAAUGGUCUUGCUGUACUAUUAAGACACAGGGACAGAGGAGCUUUGUCAUGUCAUCACCAAGACUGGCUUUAUGGAGAAAGUCAUUAAUCAAGGCAAGCAGAGCAUUUUGCAAAUAUCCAGGCCUGGCAAACCCAGCCACCUCAAUUGAGGAAACUUAUACCUGGAAGAAUCUAAAUGUGACUCAGCCCUCCCUGGAAAUGACUGAGCUUCAGCCUGAAGGACUUCAUUACCUGAGAGAAAUCCUUAUGGAUCAAGCCUAAAUUCUGUUUAUCUAUGCUUUGUUGAAGGUGAGCUUGUUUUCCUAAACUUGUAUGUAAAGCUGUUCACCUGAACCUCUGGACUGGAGGGACUGUUGACACUCGCAGUUCUCUAGAUGGGUCACCACUUGCCCUGCCAGCACCUUGCUCUCACCCAGUUGGAAGGAAGUUUAAUUAAUACAGAGAAGAUGUCAUAGAUAUGAUGAGUUUUAAAUGAACAUAUUAUGAUAACAAAAAAUGUUCCAAAGUUCUACAACCUUCAGUGCCUCCCAAGAAAGAUUUCUGGAAG
This 899-nucleotide long non-coding RNA is filed under the name Rhinopithecus bieti (black snub-nosed monkey). RNAcentral describes it as "lncRNA (ENSRBIG00000045817.1)". The record is from RNAcentral. Lineage: Eukaryota; Metazoa; Chordata; Mammalia; Primates; Cercopithecidae.